UAGUCCACGCCGUAAACGAUGGGUACUAGGUGUUGCGGGAAUUGACCCCUGCAGUGCCGAAGCUAACGCAAUAAGUACCCCGCCUGGGAAGUACGGUCGCAAGAUUAAAACUCAAAGGAAUUGACGGGGGCCCGCACAAGCGGUGGAGCAUGUGGUUUAAUUCGAUGCAACGCGAAAAACCUUACCUGGGUUUGAAAGCCUCGGACAACCCUAGAGAUAGGGCUUUCCCUUCGGGGACUGAGUGCUAGGUGCUGCAUGGCUGUCGUCAGCUCGUAUCGUGAGAUGUCGGGUUAAGUCCCUUAACGAGCGCAACCCUUAUCCUUCGUUGCCAGCAUUUAGUUGGGCACUCAAAGGAGACUGCCCGUGUUAAGCGGGAGGAAGGUGGGGAUGACGUCAAGUCCUCAUGGCCCUUAUGCCCAGGGCUACACACGUGCUACAAUGGCCGGUAUAGAGGGCGGCCAACCCGCGAGGGGGAGCUAAUCUCAGAAAACCGGUCUCAGUUCGGAUUGGAGUCUGCAACUCGACUCCAUGAAGUU
RNAcentral lists this ribosomal RNA (536 nucleotides) under uncultured bacterium. RNAcentral's name for it is "bacterial SSU rRNA". It matches the Rfam family "Bacterial small subunit ribosomal RNA", at positions 791 to 1327 of the family's 1533-position model. The record is from RNAcentral.